CUGCGUUCCCGUUCCACAGUGGGGAGCGGGCUUCAGAUCGCCUCAGCAACACAACAAAAUGGUGCCCUAAUAUAUUGGGCUCAUUAAUACACUACUAUUACACCUUACGCUGCAUUCAAAUCCAGCCAAGUCACUGCAAUCACACACACACUCCACAUAUGAUACAGGCAUUAGUUCACCGUUUAUUUCAUACUGCAGUAAAAAAACUAAAAUAAGUGUGCAUUAUAACAAAAACAUAAAUAAAACAUAAGAUCCCUCCCCCCCUCGCCUUGUUAUUAAAUGUGCUCAAUAAAUACAAUUGAUUUGAUUAGCAUUUUACAGACCGAUACAAUGGAUAGGGCGUUUAGUAAGGUCCACCACCGUUGCUUCUCUCCCCAUAAAAAGCUAAAGUCAGUGUUUAAUGACGUUGAUUUAUCUUUGAGCAUUCCCUAUUAUAGGCUAUGUGUAAAAUGCUGUAUGUGUGUGUAGAAUUAACGUUUAUAUCAAGAAAGAAAGAACCAGCGAGGGACGCUCUUAUUCCCGCUCUCCUUGCUUGACCGCGAUCUAGCAUCUAGGAUCGAUUGCUCUACCUUGGGUCCCCGAAUGUUAACACUGAAUUUCAUACAUUGAAUUUUGGACCAGCAUUUCUUAAAGGUCAGGACCCAAAGUGUUUGAAAAAACUAAAGCUGGAAAGAUCAUGGGACCACGAGAACUGUUAUGAGCCUACGUAAAAGCAGAUGACCCUGCGAGAUUCACUGUGGACUUUGGCAUGUUGAACCUUUUUAAGUUAAAUUUUUUAGCGUUGUAUAUUUGAUAUUGAAUUUUUUAACACUGAAAAAUAAAGGGGAAAAUGAUUUGUUGAAAUUCUAAAGAGUUAAAACUUAAAAUUCAAUGGCUUUUUAUUUUCAAAAUCUGAUGAGACAGAUUUGCUUCCAUACAUAUGGGCCAUAGGAUUAUGAAUAGAUAGGAAAUAAGCGGCCUUCUUCCAUAGAUUCUUGCUGUAGGACCCGAUGAUGCUUGUUGCCACAGCAGAUACCGACACAUCAGUGGGCUGAACGGAGAUGAUGUGCAUAUGGAGGUGGCAGGCUGGCACUUGAAUAAAAUCGUAUGGCUAAUAAACUGCUUUUUGUAGUUAGAAGAAGUCAUCUCAAUAUAAAGUUAUAUGUGGCAAUAUUUUUAUGACUACGUUAAAGAUUCAGUGGGUUACUGGAUCGACAGUAGCCGUCUCAAACAAAAUGGAGGAGGCAAUUAAAGACACAGCCUGUCAUCAAUCCGGAUGUGGACUAUUUCUGAGAUACUGAACGUUAACAACAUAACUGAACUAGUAACUAUUCCUGGUUAUUGUUGCUCAAAUAUUGCCGUUUUUUCGGCUAACCUAUCGGUUGAACCAGGAAAAGCAUUUGCAGUACUUCAGAUUGCCAAAAUAUAUUACAAAUCAGGGAGAAUAGUGCAAAAAUUGCCUGAGGAAAGGAGGUGUUAUCGUUGGCCAAACCAAACCAGGAUUUCCAGUGCAAGAAUCUUAACAAAAUCAUUUUAAAGCUUUUUUAAAUAUUUUUGUUGUGUGGCACAAUCCACAAAGUAAACCAUGCUCAUCAGAAUCACACAAGUUUAUUAAAAGAGAACAAUAUAAUACUAGAACAGUUUAAAAACAGAGCAGAUUGUUUUGAAUGCAACAAGAUGAGCUUGACAAAUUUACUAGUCAGAAUAACAUUCUAAGAUGAACAAAAAAGUACUAAUAUAAUUCUGAAAUAAUCAGAAUCAUCAGUCAAUAAUUAUCCAUAAAAAUUAAGAGAAGAAGACUGUGACGUCACCAAAACCGAAACUCACACUUUCUGUGCUGAACAACGUUGGUCAUUGGGUGCAUCCAAGUCAGUAGGAAGGAAGCGGAAGGAACUGAAAACUAAAGGACAUAUUAUCAAAAAUGAAAAAAUUAUUUCAACGAUUACACAAAUAAUUAGUUGCAAGUUAUACAUUUUAUUUAUUUUAUUGGCUUGAAUUAAUUUCAUUCUCUUGAAUACUUAUUUUGGGUUGCUAUUCAAGAAUUGUGUUUUAUUAUAGUAACGCUGAUUCUAUUUACGUUAUUCCUUGGAUUAGAAAUCCUUAAAUAUAUUUACUUUGCAUGAAAUCAAUUCUGUAUCUUAAAUUUCAGUAUUAUCGUAAUGGCUGUUCACAGAAUAUUUCUUUAGAAUUUAGAUGUUAUAACCUAAACCAGCUAGCCAAUUUUGGUUGGUCUAGUUUUUAAAAAAAAAUGAGUGUUUCAGAAUUGUAAGUGAGGCCCAAGCUUUGUAAACCAUCAUUAUCAAGAAACGGUAAUGUUCUUAUCGUUUUAUUGGGCUAUAAUGGCUAUUAUAAAAAUGAUUAUAACGGCUGCAAACACAUGUCUUUCGAUAUCAAAUCACAUUCAUAGCCUAGUGUAGUCUAGUCAAAUCAAACUGCCUAUUUAUAAAUGUAGCCUUUCUAAGGUCUAUCUUCAUAUUUUGAUAAGCCUAUGUUCUUAUCGCAAUACUGUCAACUGGAAUGCUUAUUUAAACCUUUAAUAUCUUUGUUGUAGCCAUACCUCCGGCCCUGCUGAGGUUGGCAAUGCGGGAGUUUUGGUCUAUGGAGAAUUAAUGAUUUAUGAUUAAGAAGUAAUUGCGGGGAACACAUGAGAGUAGAGACACAUAUGGACCUGCAGAUAUGGCCAAACUUAAGAAGCAAUUACUCUGUUGCCCAACCUUGACCUUCAACUGCUUUGUUUAGAUCAAGCUUUGGUACAUUGAAUUCAAAAUUAUAAUAUGUAACAUGUAAUGCAUCUAAAUGUUUUCUAAGUGAGGGGUUGCCAUUGGACCUCAGUCAAGUGUAAAGGAAAGUGUGUAAUAUUCUGUAUUCUUCUGCUGAAGACAAUAAUGUAAGGUCAAAGUUUCUGAUACAGAGCUUUGUAAAUGCAAGGAGGACAGCAAAUACAAAUCCUGGGGGAGGACAGACAGUUUGUGAGGGAAAAGUAACAGGGUUUUAUUCAAAACGGUGGUAAAUGGAAGGGUCGCAAGUCAAAACAACAUCAUUAUUAAAGAUACCAACCUAUCAGAUAAUUAUACACAAUUAAAAACAAAUGGAUGAACAGCCUGGCUUAUUCUGAGAAAUAGCUUUUCCUUUUUGUUGUUAGGCUGUGUUAUAUCGCUGUCCUGGCAUGUAUUUGAACUAACCCCAUGGGGGUUGAGUAAAGUAUUACAAGGCAAUGAUUUACCAAGGAUUGAAGUUAUGUUUGCCUCUAUCUCAGCAUCCCCUUGGACAGACGUGGUUGGUACCUAGUCAAACAUCACCAUCUCAUGAAUAUAACCGAACGUCAUCACUCUCUUGCAACAUACUGUGUAUAAUUUCUAAAUACCCGGAUAUACCGUAAUGCCUCAUUACAGCAAAAAGCAUACUGUACAAUUUUUUUUAUUGUCCCAUAAUGUGGACUGAAUGUCGAUUGCAAUAUGUGAUUAGUUAAUUGUGUGAUUUCUAAAUUCUGCACAGUGUUGUACAAAGUUUUUGAUUCUGGCCCAAUCUGUGUUACUUUGUACCCUUGCUGGGCCAGCCUUAAUACCCCUGCUGUUUGGUCCGAGCAUCCUAACCCGAGCAGAAGUGUUUCCGCCGCAGUCCUCUCAGUAACCAUGGGAACAGAUAUGUUUCCUAUUAAAAUAUGCCCAGUGGUAAAGGAUCACAGUGCAAUGUUUUAGCAUGGUUCAACAAACCUUCAACAAUAGUAAAUGUUCUUUUCAUGAAUAAAUCUAUAUGCAGCCAUCACUGCAAAAAGCUGAUUAGAUGUGCAUGAGUUUGCUUGAUCUAUGCACAGUUUAUGCAGACAAUUUAACAGCUAUUGGUGUUAUUUGGCAUGACAGCAUUUUGUCUUUCAGUAUGCUUCGCUGUUUGAUGACAAAGUAUCUUCUGAUGUUGUAAGGUACGAGACUCCCACACUAACUCGCUUCACAAGGCAAUUCAUAUUUAUUGUUUUUUGCAUUCCAUUUCUUUAUACGUGAGAAUUGAUUACCUUUGAGAUCAGUCAAUUAAUGCCUGGUCUUUAUCCUGCUCUCUAAAAUUUGAAGCCACUCCUACACUUGAGCUACACUUCAACAGAAUAUUUAGCGUUAAGCCCUGCAGACUGACAGAUAAAACCCCUUUUAGCCGGCCGUACCUGCAGGCUGGGUGGGGUGGGGUUGUUCAAGGGUAGUGACCGGGACUUAGAGUCUGGAGCCUGGGGGAUCCUCUUAAGCCCCAAGAGAGGAGCAAAGAUCCCUCCUCCCUGAUGGGGAGCUACUUAAUGGAUGACAGAGUGUGUAAACCACAGGGAGAGCCUGCCUAACCCAAAACACUGCUGUGAGAACACUUAGGCGCAGAUGGGGUUCUGCCCACACACAUGCACACACGCACGCACGCACGCACGCACGCACGCACACACACACACACACACACACACACACACACACACACACACACACACACACACACACACACACACACACACACACACACACACACACACACACACACACACACACACACA
Molecule: long non-coding RNA, 4501 nt
Organism: Gadus macrocephalus (Pacific cod)
Lineage: Eukaryota; Metazoa; Chordata; Actinopteri; Gadiformes; Gadidae
Exons: 2
Source: RefSeq, a predicted model, not a curated record